CAGGAUUAACUUUCACAAAUGUCAGCUGAAAGGAAACAAACAAUGCUUUCUUGUGUAAAAUUAUAUUGCAUGUAUAGCUCAAGUCAUCUUCUAGUGCAUGCUUGUUUCUGUAGACGGAAAGACCUCCAUUCCCUAGCUGUAUGCACCAACCCACUAACAGAGGUGUAAUGUUCAGUAGCUUUAUUCCCUUCUCUACUUGCUACUUUGUCGGUAACAAAAUGGACUAAAAAUCAUGGAGGACA
RNAcentral lists this long non-coding RNA (242 nucleotides) under Elaeis guineensis (African oil palm). Its description in RNAcentral is "long non-coding RNA (EGUI_LNC001890)". Lineage: Eukaryota; Viridiplantae; Streptophyta; Magnoliopsida; Arecales; Arecaceae. The record is from RNAcentral.